This is a long non-coding RNA of Salvia splendens (bonfire salvia), 514 nucleotides long. RefSeq lists it as uncharacterized. The transcript is spliced from 3 exons. Lineage: Eukaryota; Viridiplantae; Streptophyta; Magnoliopsida; Lamiales; Lamiaceae. The record is from RefSeq and is a predicted model, not a curated record.
GCCUAUUUUAUUCUUUUAAUUAUGGGACUUUUAUUUCAUUUGGCCAUUAUUUUAUCCCUCCAUAAUUAAUUAAAUAAUUCUUUAAACUUUAACCUAAUCCUAUACAAACACCUAAACUAAACCCUAGCCCCCAUCUCCCUCAAAAUUUCGUGCCUCCCCCCUUCACUCUCCAUCCUCUCCAAAAACUUCUUCCCUCAAUGUUUCUUGCAUAAAUUGGAGUGGAUUUUUCAAGAGUUUCGACGAAUCGCCUCCAUCCUUGUUCCUACCGUUCGUUUUCGUGAUUCGAAAAGGGUGUUGUGUAUUCGUGAACUCGAGGAUCGAGAGUUGCUAAGUUGGGUUGUGAUUUUGCUAAGAGAACGAGGUUGAGCGGGAUGUUGCGGUGGAUGUUGAGCUGGCUUGAGAACGUAGGAUACGUUGCUACGUCAUACAUAGGCGUAGUCCUUGACUCUCCUUAAACUCUAUUUUCCGCUGCUAUAACUUGAACCAUGUCUCAAGACUUUAAUCUUUUCUUUAU